UUAAAGGUAAGUUCNNCCCUAUGAUUGAUUUUAAAUGGCUGCAGUAUUUUGACUGUGCAAAGGAAGCAUAAUAAUUAGUCUUUUAAUUGAAGGCUUGUAUGAAUGAAUAAAUGNGAAGUUUAUUUUUUUAUUUUUAUGAUUUGAAUUUAAUUUUUAAGUAAAAAAGCUUAAUUGUUUUUCUGGGACGAUAAGACCCUAUAGAAUUUUAAUUUUUAUUUAAUAUUUAUAUUUUAGUUUAUUUAAUAUUUAAUAUUUAAUAUAUAUUUUGGUUGGGGNGAUUAAUAAAUAUGACUUUAUUUUUUUUA
This 305-nucleotide ribosomal RNA is filed under the name Deselvana sp. n. DMT-2018. Its description in RNAcentral is "partial large subunit ribosomal RNA". Lineage: Eukaryota; Metazoa; Arthropoda; Insecta; Hemiptera; Cicadellidae. The record is from RNAcentral.